UACGAAGGGGGCUAGCGUUGUUCGGAUUUACUGGGCGUAAAGCGCACGUAGGCGGAUCGAUCAGUCAGGGGUGAAAUCCCAGAGCUCAACUCUGGAACUGCCUUUGAUACUGUCGAUCUGGAGUAUGGAAGAGGUGAGUGGAAUUCCGAGUGUAGAGGUGGAAUUCGUAGAUAUUCGGAGGAACACCAGUGGCGAAGGCGGCUCACUGGUCCAUUACUGACGCUGAGACGCGAAAGCGUGGGGAGCAAACAGG
RNAcentral lists this ribosomal RNA (253 nucleotides) under uncultured bacterium. RNAcentral's name for it is "partial 16S ribosomal RNA". It matches the Rfam family "Bacterial small subunit ribosomal RNA", at positions 524 to 776 of the family's 1533-position model. The record is from RNAcentral.